AUUGAACGCUGGCGGCAUGCCUUACACAUGCAAGUCGAACGGUAACGGGCCUUCGGGUGCCGACGAGUGGCGAACGGGUGAGUAAUGCAUCGGAACGUACCCAUCAGUGGGGGAUAACUCUCCGAAAGGAGGGCUAAUACCGCAUAUUCUGUGCGCAGGAAAGCGGGGGACCGCAAGGCCUCGCGCUGAUGGAGCGGCAGAUGUCAGAUUAGCUAGUUGGUGGGGUAAAGGCCUACCAAGGCGACGAUCUGUAGCGGGUCUGAGAGGAUGAUCCGCCACACUGGGACUGAGACACGGCCCAGACUCCUACGGGAGGCAGCAGUGGGGAAUUUUGGACAAUGGGGGCAACCCUGAUCCAGCCAUGCCGCGUGAGUGAAGAAGGCCUUCGGGUUGUAAAGCUCUUUCGGCCGGGAAGAAAUCGCAUCUCCUAAUACGGGGUGUGGAUGACGGUACCGGAAUAAGAAGCACCGGCUAACUACGUGCCAGCCGCCGCCGUAA
Molecule: ribosomal RNA, 498 nt
Filed under: uncultured bacterium
Lineage: Bacteria
Description: partial 16S ribosomal RNA
Rfam family: Bacterial small subunit ribosomal RNA
Source: RNAcentral